AUGCUCACUUUGGCAGCACAUAUUCUAAAAAUUUGGAAUGAUACAGAGAAGCUUAGCAUGGCCCCUGUGCAUUGAUGACACGCAAAUUUGUGAAGCGUUCCAUAUUUUU
Oxyura jamaicensis (ruddy duck) is the source of this 109-nucleotide small nuclear RNA. The record is from RefSeq and is a predicted model, not a curated record. NCBI's taxonomy places the organism in Eukaryota, Metazoa, Chordata, Aves, Anseriformes, Anatidae.